ACAAGAAAAAACAAUUAAUUCAACUGGUUAGAUUUUUUUCAUAUACAUAUAUUUCACUUGUGGGACACAUAGAGAUUUGCCAAGGGCCAAAACCACAUAAGGAAUUCCUCUGGUUCUCACUGGCUACACAAGGUUUGAUUGUCAUGAAAAUAUAUCUGUUUGAAACAUGGCCUGCGGAUUGAGUAGAUCAUGCAUUUCAGCUGACCUAAAAUUCACAAAUCAUGCUUGAAUUUUAUCCAUUUUCCCAAAUCAGUGACCAAAUUUCAGCCAGCUCACACACAGCAUGCAACCCCUUCCAGAACCUGUACUGUGAAUAAUCCUAACUGUAUUUGGAUAUAAAUGCCAUUACCAGUGUGUAAUAUGUUGUUAUUUUCAGAGUGUAUCAGCAUCCUAGGGAUGGCUAUGACUUUGAGGUGAAUCAGUAAUAGCAGUUGCACCUAUAGUUGAUAUAAAAAAUUCUUAUACAUUCAUAACUGUUGACAGUAUAGUAGCCUUGUUGGGCUGUUUAUGUUGUUCAUCAGUAACACAUGGGCUUUUUGUAAACAUGUAUAGUCAUGUAACCCUGUCAUUUGUAUUAUUGGGAGUUCAAAGUAAAUCCCAUAGGUAAACAACAUUUUAACUGCAGAUUUCUUGAAAGGUAUGUUAUGAAGUACAUUUUUAUUGUUGUGGAUUUACAAUUUUUUUUAUUUUUUUUA
Molecule: long non-coding RNA, 695 nt
Organism: Pocillopora damicornis (cauliflower coral)
Lineage: Eukaryota; Metazoa; Cnidaria; Anthozoa; Scleractinia; Pocilloporidae
Source: RefSeq, a predicted model, not a curated record